CUCUUGGUGAAGGGAGCGCCACAUGGGGCCUGCCACCCCGAGGAGGGGCUGUGCGAGAAUCGACCUGGUCUCUGGCGGAAAUCAUCACAUCUUACAGCCCUGACUGAUUCAGAGCUUCUUGAUUCCCCUUCUUUCCUGGGGUCACGGAGCCGAAAUUCACAUCAGCCUUCUCCUCAUCCUACGAGCCUGUCCCGACUCACACUCACAUUUGUCUCCCCAGAGAGCUCAGGACAGUGGGUUUUGAAAGGUGAACCGACAGAUAUUUUUUUCAAACUCUCCAUCAAUAGAAACAUCUCCAUGUGUAGAAACAAAAGGAAUACAGGGAACAUGGUCAGUUGGCCGAGACAGUGUCAGGGCGGGCCUGCCUGACCACGUACAGGCCUGUCUGUGAUGCCCUGCACCCCCCACGCGUGCUGCUGACCAUCACUGUGCCUCAGCUCCCACCCUGCCGCAAACGAGACUGGAAACAGAGCGCACAGUGUGUUCUCCCAGGGGUAGGACACGCCGAUCAACCCCGGCACGUACAAAGCUAGAGAUACAGACCUCCGAGUGAAUGCUGAACAAGCCCUGUCUGCCUGACCUCAGAAGGCCUUUCACAAAUGCAGCCCGAGUACAAGGCAAUUGCUGGAAUUGAGGCAGACGUGGAGAGAACAAAGGUGGCCUUCAUCUUUUUCCUGGAGGUUUGGCUUCUGCCUUAACUGAAUUCAUUCCAAGUGGCCCAUUCCCAGGAUGGAUUGACCUUGGACAAGUUAAAUAUUUUUCGGAGCCAACUGCAGAAAACAGUACGGCCUCAGGUUCCAUUUCUUCUUGUUACAUUUUAGCCAUCGUUAAAGCCUCCUGGGAUGUUUGAACAGUUUCCCUCUAUUUCUAAUAGGAAAUUUCAGAAAUCGAGAAAAGUUUAAAUAGAGAAAUAAAAAUGAUCCACAAUAUCCCAUUAGAGAUAGCUCCGUCUGUACUGUGGUAUAUUUUUCCAGAGUUCCCUGGUUCUUUCUCUCUCUCUCUGAAGCAUGAGCAC
RNAcentral lists this long non-coding RNA (1015 nucleotides) under Equus caballus (horse). RNAcentral describes it as "lncRNA (ENSECAG00000051694.1)". The record is from RNAcentral. Lineage: Eukaryota; Metazoa; Chordata; Mammalia; Perissodactyla; Equidae.